Molecule: non-coding RNA, 534 nt
Organism: Pelobates cultripes (western spadefoot toad)
Lineage: Eukaryota; Metazoa; Chordata; Amphibia; Anura; Pelobatidae
Source: the annotation of a GenBank genome assembly
AUUGAAUUUUAUUUAUAUAUGUACAAUGAAAUGUUCCAGUCACGUUAUUAAUGGCAGAGAUCUUAUUGAAAAAAAAAACUCCCAGAAUCCCACAAGUGCAUACGUUUAUGUUUGUAUUAUCUUGUAACUUUACCUUCCAAAACAAGUUCCUUGUUGCCUGAUUAACAACUCUGAGAGUCUUUCUUAGACCUGCAGUAUUUUUACAAGGUAUUGUAAUUCUCAGCCAUUAUCAGCAUUUUGUCACUGAAUGUGUGUUUAAGCCUGAAAGGUGAGCAUUGCUGUUUCUAAAAAAACAUUGCAGGGUUAAACCUACAGGGCCAUAACACCCAGGCCACUUCAUUGUGAUGAAAUGACCUGGGUGACUUCAGUGGUCCUUUAACCCCUUAACCCCGUAAGGACAGAGCCAAAUGUACACGUUGUGAACAAAACAAAAUGUAAACAAAACCUGGCAUUUGCGCUACAUGUCUGUCCAACCGUAAUUCACCUCUUUCAUAGUAAAUGCACUCACACUUAUUAUAUAUAAUUUUAUUCAGG